CGAAGUGUACACACGCAUCGUAGAUAAUUCUUCUUGAUAAUAAAUACAACAGAUAUUAAUAUAAGAGUUAAAUUAAACUUGCUGUACUCAAUGAUCGAUGAGAGUAUAAAAGAACCGAAAACUUAUCGUCAAAUUCACACUUUAGAAGUACACUAACAGUAGCCACACAUUGAUGCAAAACGUAGUCAUAGUACGGAGCAUAGUAUAAAGCCGCCAUUAGAUUUCGUCUUACUGCAGCAUCGUUAUGUAGAUCUAAUUAAUGAAUCCUGAAUACUACGGCGUGUUAUCUGUUUGCAGCAAUGCCUCCAUUGUCACCACUCGUAAGGUUCAACGAUGGAAGUAGAAGAAAUAUGGUCGGUCUCUGAGAAACAGGAAGAUCUAGGGUUUAAUUCUAAUAACAUAGCAUUAAGUACAGAUUUAACUCCGACGCUUGUGGUUUCACAAACACGUUCAAGGAAAAUGAAGUGCACGAUGUGUUGGUCGUAGUAAUGCGAAACGUUUCUUGCCGUUUUCAAAUUUACGUGAAUGAGAUAAUAUUCCGUUAAAGUACGAUAUGACUUUAUUGUUAAUAUUUGUUACGAUUAGAUAAGCUGUUAAGGUUUUUAUGAUAUUUUGUUUACUUUUUUUUUCAAUAGAAAGAAAGAUAACACAGCUGACAUUUUUUGUAAUACAAUGUUACAGAUAGAAAUGUUUAUAUCAAAUAGGAUUGGAGAUAAGGUAUACUAAAAUGAUCUUAUACAAGUUAAAAAGCUUUAUCCUUGAUAACUCAAAGGACAAAGUCGAGAACAAAGAGCGAUUCGUCAGACACCAAGAUGUCGGCCAAAGAUUAAAGUUUCCUCAGUUAAUCUUUAUCAUAAAUCUUAAUUAAAUAUCC
This is a long non-coding RNA of Vespa crabro (European hornet), 874 nucleotides long. RefSeq lists it as uncharacterized. The transcript has 3 exons. NCBI's taxonomy places the organism in Eukaryota, Metazoa, Arthropoda, Insecta, Hymenoptera, Vespidae. The record is from RefSeq and is a predicted model, not a curated record.